CUAUUAAGUUUGGUGACGGUGUCU
Molecule: non-coding RNA, 24 nt
Filed under: Arabidopsis thaliana (thale cress)
Lineage: Eukaryota; Viridiplantae; Streptophyta; Magnoliopsida; Brassicales; Brassicaceae
Source: RNAcentral